UCCUUCGGGAGGCAGCAGUGGGGAAUUUUUCGCAAUGGGGGAAACCCUGACGCAGGGACGCCGCGUGAGCGAGGAAGGCCUUCGGGUGGUAAAGCUCUGUCUCCGGGGAAGAAGGUAUGACGGUACCCGGGGAGGAAGCCCCGGCUAACUACGUGCCAGCAGCCGCGGUAAUACGUAGGGGGCGAGCGUUGUCCGGAGUUACUGGGCGUAAAGGGUGCGUAGGCGGCCCAUUAAGUCAGGUGUGAAAAACCCUGGCUCAACCGGGGUAUUGCACUUGAAACUGGUGGGCUUGAGUGCAGGAGAGGGAAGUGGAAUUCCUGGUGUAGCGGUGAAAUGCGUAGAUAUCAGGAGGAACACCAGUGGCGAAGGCGGCUUCCUGGCCUGUAACUGACGCUGAGGCACGAAAGCGUGGGGAGCAAACAGGAUUAGAUACCCUGGUAGUCCACGCUGUAAACGAUGGAUACUAGGUGUAGGGGGCAAUUGAGCUUUCUGUGCCGAAGUAACGCAAUAACAUUCCGCCU
This 521-nucleotide ribosomal RNA is filed under the name uncultured bacterium. RNAcentral describes it as "bacterial SSU rRNA". It matches the Rfam family "Bacterial small subunit ribosomal RNA", at positions 337 to 874 of the family's 1533-position model. The record is from RNAcentral.